CCUGAACCUCGGGAUUGCCUGGUCCACAACUGGGUUUGAACAGGUCAACUGAAUCCCACCUAGAUGUCCUGCCAGCAAAUCCCGCAGCCUUGCCAGCCUCCUCUCAAAGGACCCACGACCAAGUGUCCCCCAAAAUGUCCCCCUAGGGGCCCUCCCAAGAUGCCCUGCUCCAGUCUCUUCCUGCUGUGGCCUUAGCCCCAGGGCUGCAGUGGCCUCAGCACACUGGUACAGCAGAGCUCCAGCUGUUGCCACAGCUUUGGGGCUGCUUCCUGCCUCGCCUCUGAGAAUCAGCUGAAGACCAGCCCCAGUCCUGCGCUUCUUGGCCCUCAGUCUCCUCCAUCCCUUGAUGAGUCUCUCCUGGGGGACAAGACCACCCUGGGGCUCGCUGCAGAAGCAGCCAUCAGCACAGUGACUCUGGCUGGGCUCAGACUCGCUUUCCUGAUAUUCGGAUGUGAUUGCUCUGAAUGAGUCGCUUUGCUACAAUAAAUAUUUUUAAAUUCC
Molecule: long non-coding RNA, 501 nt
Organism: Phacochoerus africanus (Common warthog)
Lineage: Eukaryota; Metazoa; Chordata; Mammalia; Artiodactyla; Suidae
Exons: 2
Source: RefSeq, a predicted model, not a curated record